GACGAACGCUGGCGGCGUGCUUAACACAUGCAAGUCGAACGCUGAAGCUUGGUGCUUGCACUGGGUGGAUGAGUGGCGAACGGGUGAGUAAUACGUGAGUAACCUGCCCUUGACUCUGGGAUAAGCCUGGGAAACUGGGUCUAAUACUGGAUAUGACAUGCCACUGCAUGGUGGUGUGUGGAAAGGGUUUUACUGGUUUUGGAUGGGCUCACGGCCUAUCAGCUUGUUGGUGGGGUAAUGGCCUACCAAGGCGACGACGGGUAGCCGGCCUGAGAGGGUGACCGACCACACUGGGACUGAGACACGGCCCAGACUCCUACGGGAGGCAGCAGUGGGGAAUAUUGCACAAUGGGCGGAAGCCUGAUGCAGCGACGCCGCGUGAGUGAUGACGGCCUUCGGGUUGUAAACCUCUUUCAGCACGGAAGAAGCGAGAGUGACGGUACGUGCAGAAGAAGCGCCGGCUAACUACGUG
RNAcentral lists this ribosomal RNA (472 nucleotides) under uncultured bacterium. RNAcentral's name for it is "partial 16S ribosomal RNA". It matches the Rfam family "Bacterial small subunit ribosomal RNA", at positions 28 to 507 of the family's 1533-position model. The record is from RNAcentral.